This 546-nucleotide long non-coding RNA is filed under the name Gossypium raimondii (Peruvian cotton). RNAcentral describes it as "long non-coding RNA (GRAI_LNC010567)". Lineage: Eukaryota; Viridiplantae; Streptophyta; Magnoliopsida; Malvales; Malvaceae. The record is from RNAcentral.
GAAAGUUCUUCCUAUUUCCUUAUUUUGCUACUGUUUUGUUUGCUUUUUCUUCUUUGUUUGAUUGUGGCUUAUAGGUGGUGGUGCAGCGGUUACGGUGGCCGUAGGCGCAGUGGUGGUGGGGGCUUUUGGCUGCUGUUUCUUGAAUGUUCUUCUGCUGUUUUUUUUCAAUUUUUUUCUUUUUUCUUUGCUGCCCAAAAACUGAACCUUUUCCCUUCCGUUUUUUCUUUUUAAUCUGAUUCAUUUUGUCAUUUUUCCCCUUGUGUUCAGGUGGAGCCAGAGGAGGGGAAGCAUGGCCGAUUGGGGGUGUCAGGCGUGGAAGGCGGUGCACGCAAGAAAGCAGAUUGUGGGCAGUCUUGUCAUGCCUAGAAGGACCAAAAUGUAAAGGGUGUAAAGUUUUUAAGGCAAAAAUGUAAUUUUAGGAAAAUAUGAGGCUAAAAUGUAAUUUCUAGAAAGUUUAGAGGCCCGAAUGUAAUUUACAAAAUAUUAGGGGUCAAGAUGUAAAUUUAGAAAAAGUUAAGGGUCAAAAUGUAAUUUUUAAAAAGUUCA